CUUAUCAUCGAGUCUAGAAUGUGUUUCCUGAAAUACAGUAUAUAUACAUACAUAUAAUGUGUUGAAUGGUGUAUGAGUUUCUCUCAAGCUUAUUGUGUUCAUCUUAUUAUCUGCAUUUGCACCUGCACCUUCUUGCUACAAUCUACCGCUUUCUUUCUUUCAGGGGUUUGAGACACAAAAAGGUGCAUGUGUUUCUGCAGACAAAAGAUGCCAUCUUGCAUUCUGCUUUAAUCUGCCAUUUCUCUCUUUCUCUCUCUCAUCAAAAGCAUAUGCAUAUACAUAUACAUAUAUAUACGUGUAUGUGUUCAGUGUGUGUACAUGGUGAAGAAUAAGUGGAAAGAAGAAAUGGUAUUCAUCAUUCAUACAUCAUGCAAAGAGAAUGAACCUCCUCCUAAGCGGCGUGAGGGGAGACAUGCACCACUAACCGCCCUCCACGUCAGCGUGUCCGGCUUCUCUCCUAAUGGGCUCUCUCUACUUGAGAGUCGGGAUGCACGUCCCCAGUCCUCACUGGCUUCAACACUCUCUCUCCUCCACAUCUCCGCAUCACGUGAUGCUCUUCACGAGCAGUGCAUUGGAGAAUUGAAGGUGCAAGUCCUAAUUUUCCCCUUUUCAAAGGUUAAUUUGCAACUUCUUAUCUUCUAACUUCUUAGAAUGCAACUUUGUGUACUUGGAACAUAUCUUCCAAUCAAAUCAAGUAUAUAGGGGAAGACAACUUCUUGUUAAUGUAUCCAAAUUCCUAAACUAAUGUAAUUAGACAAUGGUGUAUAUAUAUCCAACGGAUCUGCGAUUUCUUUUUCAUAAA
Helianthus annuus (common sunflower) is the source of this 802-nucleotide long non-coding RNA. RefSeq lists it as uncharacterized. NCBI's taxonomy places the organism in Eukaryota, Viridiplantae, Streptophyta, Magnoliopsida, Asterales, Asteraceae. The record is from RefSeq and is a predicted model, not a curated record. The transcript has 2 exons.